ACGGAAGGCAGCAGUGGGGAAUAUUGCACAAUGGGGGAAACCCUGAUGCAGCAACGUCGCGUGAAGGAUGAAGGCCCUUGGGUCGUAAACUUCUGUCCUUGGGGAAGAUAAUGACGGUACCCUUGGAGGAAGCCCCGGCUAACUACGUGCCAGCAGCCGCGGUAAUACGUAGGGGGCAAGCGUUAUCCGGAAUUAUUGGGCGUAAAGAGUACGUAGGCGGUUUCCUAAGCGCAGGGUCUAAGGCUACGGCUGAACCGUAGUUCGCCCUGCGAACUGGGUGACUUGAGUGCAGGAGGGGAAAGCGGAAUUCCUAGGGUAGCGGUGAAAUGCGUAGAUAUUAGGAGGAACACCAGUGGCGAAGGCGGCUUGCUGGACUGUAACUGAAGCUGAGGUACGAAAGUGUGGGGAGCAAACAGGAUUAGAUACCCUGGU
This 432-nucleotide ribosomal RNA is filed under the name uncultured Anaerovorax sp. RNAcentral describes it as "partial 16S ribosomal RNA". It matches the Rfam family "Bacterial small subunit ribosomal RNA", at positions 341 to 791 of the family's 1533-position model. The record is from RNAcentral. Lineage: Bacteria; Bacillati; Bacillota; Clostridia; Peptostreptococcales; Anaerovoracaceae.